RNAcentral lists this ribosomal RNA (254 nucleotides) under uncultured bacterium. RNAcentral describes it as "partial 16S ribosomal RNA". It matches the Rfam family "Bacterial small subunit ribosomal RNA", at positions 524 to 776 of the family's 1533-position model. The record is from RNAcentral.
UACGGAGGGUGCGAGCGUUUAAUCGGAAUUACUGGGCGUAAAGGGUGCGUAGGUUGUUAGAUAAGUUAUCUGUGAAAUUCCUGGGCUUAACCUGGGCAGGUCAGAUAAUACUGUAUAACUCGAGUAUGGGAGAGGGUAGUGGAAUUUCCGGUGGAGCGGUGAAAUGCGUAGAGAUCGGAAAGAACACCAACGGCGAAAGCACUCUGCUGGGCCGACACUGACACUGAGAGACGAAAGCUAGGGGAGCGAAUGGG